UUAUCGGAAUGAGAACAAUUCAAAUCCUUUAACGAGGAUCUAGCGGAGGGCAAGUCUGGUGCCAGCAGCCGCGGUAAUUCCAGCUCCGCAGGUGUAUAUCUAUGCUGCUGCGGUUAAAAAGCUCGUAGUUGGAUCUGCGUGCUCGGAACUGGUUGGCUCACUGAGUUCAAACUGGUCUCCGGCGCUUUAUUGGCUGGUUUUCCCUUGAUGCUCUUAACCGGGUGUCUUGGGUGGCUAGCACGUUUACUUUGAAAUAAUUAGAGUGCUCAAUACAGGCGUAAAGCCUUGAAUAGUGGUGCAUGGAAUAAUAGAAUAGGACCUCGGCUCUAUUUUGUUGGUUUUCGGAACGCGAGGUAAUGAUUAAGAGGGACAGACGGGGGCAUUCGUAUUGCGACGUUAGAGGUGAAAUUCUUGGAUCGUCGCAAGACGGACGACUGCGAAAGCAUUUGCCAAGAAUGUUUUCAUUAAUCAAGAACGAAAGUUAGAGGUUCGAAGGCGAUCAGAUACCGCCCUAGUUCUAACCGUAAACGAUGCCAACUAGCGAUUCGCAGGCGUUAAACAACGACCUUGCGGGCAGCUUCCCGGAAACGAAAGUGUUCGGGUUCCGGGGGAAGUAUGGUUGCAAAGCUGAAACUUAAAGGAAUUGACGGAAGGGCACCACCAGGAGUGGAGCCUGCGGCUUAAUUUGACCAACACGGGAAAACUCACCCGGCCCGGACACCGUAAGGAUUGACAGAUUGAGAGCUCUUUCUUGAUUCGGUGGGUGGUGGUGCAUGGCCGUUCUUAGUUGGUGGAGCGAUUUGUCUGGUUUAUUCCGAUAACGAACGAGACUCUGGCCUACUAAAUAGUGGGCGGAUUCUUUCUGUCCGCAACACUUCUUAGAGGGACAAGCGGUGUUCAGCCGCACGAGAUUGAGCAAUAACAGGUCUGUGAUGCCCUUAGAUGUCCGGGGCUGCACGCGCGCUACACUGAAGGAAUCAGCGUGCUUUCUGGCCUUGCCCGAAAGGGCUGGGUAACCCGAUGAAAAUCCUUCGUGAUUGGGAUAGGGACUUGCAAUUAUUUCCCUUGAACGAGGAAUUCCCAGUAAGUGUGGGUCAUAAGCUCGCGUUGAUUACGUCCCUGCCCUUUGUACACACCGCCCGUCGCUGCCCGGAACUGAGCCGUUUCGAGAAGAACAGGGACCGUCGUUGAAGGGCCUUAACGGGCUUUUCUCUGAUAGAAACUGUU
This 1227-nucleotide ribosomal RNA is filed under the name metagenome. RNAcentral describes it as "SSU rRNA". It matches the Rfam family "Eukaryotic small subunit ribosomal RNA", at positions 506 to 1758 of the family's 1831-position model. The record is from RNAcentral.